AAGACCUUGCGCUUUUGGAGCGGCCGAUGCCUGAUUAGCUAGUUGGUGGGGUAAAAGCUUACCAAGGCAACGAUCAGUAGUUGGUCUGAGAGGACGGCCAGCCACACUGGGACUGAGACACGGCCCAGACUCCUACGGGAGGCAGCAGUGGGGAAUUUUGGACAAUGGGCGCAAGCCUGAUCCAGCAAUGCCGCGUGAGUGAAGAAGGCCUUCGGGUUGUAAACUGCUUUUGUACGGAACGAAACGGUUACGGUUAAUACCGUGAUUACUGACGGUACCGGAAGAAGAAGCACCGGCUAACUACGUGCCAGCAGCCGCGGUAAUACGUAGGGUGCGAGCGUUAAUCGGAAUUACUGGGCGUAAAGCGUGCGCAGGUGGUUUUGUAAGUCAGAUGUGAAAGCCCCGGGCUUAACCUGGGAACU
Molecule: ribosomal RNA, 422 nt
Filed under: uncultured bacterium
Lineage: Bacteria
Description: bacterial SSU rRNA
Rfam family: Bacterial small subunit ribosomal RNA
Source: RNAcentral